AGACUCUCCCCUGCUAACGGACCUUAGUGUUUUCUAGACGGUGUGAUUCGGAGCAAGAGUCCAUGGGCGUAAGCCCCGGUCUCGGACGAUGUCCACUGAUCCUUGGUGCGUUGGUGUUCCGCGUGCCAUCGGAGAGUUGAGUGUUCGCAUUCUUCGCCUCUGUGGAUUUCUCGGUUCAUCGACAAAGCGCCUCGGAGUACGUUUCUUCUUAGAGGGAUUGACGACUUAUAAGUCGUAAGAAACAGGGAGCAAUAA
This 255-nucleotide ribosomal RNA is filed under the name uncultured marine eukaryote. Its description in RNAcentral is "partial 18S ribosomal RNA". The record is from RNAcentral.